GGGGGGGGGUUCACCCAUUCCCCCCUACACCGCAGCCCCCCCCCCAGCUGUGCAUCAGCGCCCUGCAGAGCAUUGACCUCCCGGCCAUGUGCCCCACCUGGGCCAGGCCCUGCGGGGGAUUCCCAGCUCUUCCCGCACACUCACUCACUCACUCACCCUAAGGCUACGGAGAUCAGCUCUCGGCUCACCCGUUGCCUCCCAUACCCACCCCAUCCUGCUCAAAGUCCACAGGCCCCAUUCUCAAGCUUUAUUUUUGCCAUUUUCCACACCGUUCUCUCACCCCGCCCCCCGUUCAGCCCUACGGGAUUGUAUUUCCACUGCAAGACCCCUCCGUGCCUGGCCCAGAAACCCCCACCCCAGGUCCCCCCCUCCCUGUUUGCCCUGCACACAUCCCACUAAACAUUAACUCCUGCGGGUCAAACCACCACCCCCAGCUCUGCCCUUGUGCUCCCGAGCUCUGAUCCACGGGGAGGGACUUUCAGCCCAUCCUUGCGACGAUCCCCUUAAACUUCUCCAUCGUUUCUCCACCGAGAUAAGAGCCGUCAGGAACCGCCUUCUUCUUUCCAUUCCGUUCGGUUGGCAGCUAAGAGGAACGUUCUCCAGUUGCUGGAAUGCUUCGUGCAAGCCUUGCUUGCUCCUCUCCUCUCGGUUACCUUUGGACAUGGAGGUGCUGAGCUCUGAGCUGCUGCUUCUGCACUCUGCUCUGCUCCUUCCCACCACCAUUUCACCAUCAGUCUGCGCUCAGCCCCACCUGCCCUGUGCCCACAGCACCCCCCCAUCCCAUGCCAUGAGCUGCUGAGGGCUGUGGGGCCGAUGGGAGCAGCUCACAGCUGCUGCAGCUCUCUGCAGAGGGCAGAUGUGGCAAAAGCAGAUCUGACUGCGAGACGUCUCCUCCUCCCACAUCCCCGAAUAUUUCGUUCGGUGAGCUGAAUCACCCCCAUCCAACCACUAAAAAUAGUGGCUUUUCCAUUACUUGCAACGGAACGGUGCAACCUCUCCAUUCCCCGCUUCUCCUAUUUCCAGAUAGGCAUAAAAAAGCCCCCCCAAAAACUCCCAGAGGCGGCCAAGAACAGUGCAGAUGUGGCCCGUGGGGACACAGUGGGGUGGGUUGGUGCUCUCUGAGGUCCUCCCCAUCCUUUGUGGCUCUGUGCAGCCUGAGCCGAUGCCAUCCCGAAGCUCCAUAAGGAAUGCUGUGCAUGGGCUCCCGAAGUCACCCCAGCAACUGCAACAGCAGCUCCAAACGCUGUCACUUUUGCCCACGCUGCGCUCUCAGCCCUUUUGGGAAGUCACUGCGUCACGUCCCACAACACCCAGGGAAGUGCCAGCUCUUAUUUCAAGCUUUUCUUUCGGCAAAUCUGGUUUCUAGAUGUUAUGCCUGUGCUCUGUUCCAUUUUCAGCACAGGCAGCUCAGGCUUUUUCUUCUUUCCUUCGCUUCUUAAUUUCACUCGUGACCCUAAGUUACCUCCUUUUUUAACCUGUGUAAUUAGCAAGUCCUUAAAACACUCGGCUUCAUUAACAGAACACGGAUUACAUAAAUUAGACGCAUUCUUUAGCACAACUCCACUUGCCUACCAAAAACUCCAUCGCCACAAUGAAGAACAGUGGAGGAGUGGCACCCGGGGGCAGUCGGUGGGCACUGUGGGGUGGGUUUGGUCAUCUUAGAGGUCUUUUCCAGUCCUAAUGAUGCUGUGAUUCUAAGAUCCAACUUCCCCGAACACAACUGAAAGGAGAAGGCUGGCACUGCUGCUUCCAAGCCCACCUGCACAAUGCUUGCUUACGGCUUCCCCAUUUCCUAUCAGGGCUCGCUCCCAAUUCCCUCUGCUGCUGCUCUGCAGCCAUUUGCCAAGCAGCCCCAAGUUGGGGAGCUGCCCCCAAGAGCUGCUGUGGGUCUCACACCUCUCAGCUGUGCCUCCAGCACAGCCCUCUGCUGUCUGCAGUCGCUGUGCAAAGAGGGCUCAGCACUGUGCUGGCACCGUCCUCAGCUGAGCAUCCUCAGAGCAUGGCUGUCACCCAAAGCCACCCCCUGCACACAGGCAGGGAGUUAAGAACGCUGUACUGAAGGCAAAGCAGAGGUGUAAGAGCACAUUAAGCCGUUUUCUGGAUGUGGAAAUAGAUCAAUAUAACUACAGCAAAGUUAUUAUUACCACCGUAGCCACGCGAGUGUAACUCCCUCCAUAAUUCUGUGACAGCCACUUCUAUUUCAGGUCAAGUGUGCAAAUGCAGAACUUGCAACACCCUACCGAGAAUAUUAACUGUUACAAAGACCAAGUCCUAAAGAGAGAAUACCUGAAGGAGCUCUAACUCGACUUUCUGCACUGCUCUCCGAGCAAAAGGAAUCAUGCAAACAUCAUGCAAAGAACACACGCUUUGAGCACAGCGCGGGAGAGGUGGUGCAGCCUGGAGAAGGACUAUAAAAAAAGCCCUCGGUGGUGUGUGGGAAGGCUUAGGGGAAUAUUUCAGCACAUCAGGAGCUGAAUCACUGCAUGUAGGUGGAGCCAGACAGAUUGACAAGAUCUGCAACUUGAAAAAUGACCUAAGCCUGAGAUCAAUCAUCUCGCAAAGUCGCUGACGGAGGGGAACAACAGAUGGAUGUGGAUGGAGCAGCACAUCAGGAAGGCACGCUGGGGGAAGCCGUGAGCAGACGUCUCGUUGCCAUGCAUGGGAUUAAUGAAGGAUGCAGCUUCCAGAAAGCCCAAACUCGGGGCCUAUUCAUCGCAAGAGCUGUACUUUGUCCAUGCAAAUGCACACAGCUCUCCUCAGCUGAGCAGUUCCUGAGCUCUGCCACUAGAGACAAACCACCACCAGGUCACUCCCUGCCCUACUAUUCCAGUUCUGCACCAUCUCGAAGCAUUUCCCUUUGUGACCCCGCGAGGUACCAAGAACGCACUCAACAUUAAGAGAUUAACUGAAUGGAUUCAAUGAUGGCUUGCCUUGUUUGGUAAAUAAAACUUAUUAGCAGCCGUUGGCACUGGGUCUGUG
Molecule: long non-coding RNA, 2979 nt
Filed under: Gallus gallus (chicken)
Lineage: Eukaryota; Metazoa; Chordata; Aves; Galliformes; Phasianidae
Description: lncRNA (ENSGALG00010028668.1)
Source: RNAcentral